RNAcentral lists this ribosomal RNA (406 nucleotides) under uncultured bacterium. RNAcentral describes it as "partial 16S ribosomal RNA". It matches the Rfam family "Bacterial small subunit ribosomal RNA", at positions 28 to 526 of the family's 1533-position model. The record is from RNAcentral.
GACGAACGCUAGCUACAGGCUUAACACAUGCAAGUCGAGGGACCUGCGCACGUGUGUGUAACACGUAUCCAACCUGCCCUUUACUCGGGGAUAGCCUUUCGAAAGAAAGAUUAAUACCCGAUGUUAAGGAUGGGGAUGCGUUCCAUUAGGUUGUUGGUGAGGUAACGGCUCGCCAAGCCUUUGAUGGAUAGGGGUUCUGAGAGGAAGGUCCCCGACGUUGGAGCUGAGACACGGUCCAAACUCCUACGGGAAGCAGCAGUGAGGAAUAUAGGUCAAUGGGCGUUAGCCUGAACCAGCCAAGUAGCGUGAAGGAUGAAGGGUUAUGGGUCGUAAUCUUCUGUUAUAAAAGAAUAGGUAUUAUAUGAAUAAGGAUCGGCUAACUCCGUGCCAGCCGCCGCGGUAAUAC